Long non-coding RNA from Stegodyphus dumicola, 215 nucleotides. RefSeq lists it as uncharacterized. Lineage: Eukaryota; Metazoa; Arthropoda; Arachnida; Araneae; Eresidae. The record is from RefSeq and is a predicted model, not a curated record.
CCACAAGUUUUCCAGCCAAAUGCGAAAAUUCCACACCUUUAUCACGAGGAAAUCUGCAAUGGCAUUUAGGAAUGACAAAUAGAAGCUCAACUAUUCGAAGCAGGAGACCGAAGAGAAAAAAGGAAGAGAGAUGAUAUUACAGCUGCAGAAAAGGAAAUAAUUAAAACGCAGAAGAAUAUAUUAAUGUACUGUGUGAAAUAUGUGACUUGUAUAAG